This 551-nucleotide ribosomal RNA is filed under the name uncultured bacterium. Its description in RNAcentral is "bacterial SSU rRNA". It matches the Rfam family "Bacterial small subunit ribosomal RNA", at positions 347 to 916 of the family's 1533-position model. The record is from RNAcentral.
GGCAGCAGUUCGGAAUGAGCGACAAUGCGCGCAAGCAGAAUGUGUUCAUAUCGUAAAAGUGAGGAAGACGGGAGGGUCGUAAAGCAGAGUAACCUGUGAUGCUAAUGCCAGUCGCAGGUAAAGAAACACGGCUAAAUUCGUGCCCAGCAGCGGCGUAAAUAGGGAGUGGCAAGCGUUGUCUGGAAAUAUUGGGCGUAAAAGCGCAGCUAGGGGGAUUGGAAGUUAUGGGGUGAAAUCCCAGGGUUCACCGUGGAGGGUCCUUGGAAAACUUCCAGUUUAGAGCAGAAGAGGAAAGAGGAAAUUCAGAGUGUAGAGGAAAAUUGUAGAGAUAUUCGGGAACACACACAGUGGAGAAGGCGGCUCACUGGCGUAAUAGAGACGGUGGGGUGAAAAAGUGGGGGGAGCAAACAGGAUUAGAUACCGGUAUUGUCCACACCGUAAACGAUGAAUGCCAGUCGCCGGCGAGCAUGCCCGUCGGUGACGCACCUAACGGAUUAAGCAUUCCGCCUGGGGAGUACGGUCGCAAGAUUGAAACUCAAAGGAAUUGACGG